RNAcentral lists this ribosomal RNA (253 nucleotides) under uncultured bacterium. RNAcentral describes it as "partial 16S ribosomal RNA". It matches the Rfam family "Bacterial small subunit ribosomal RNA", at positions 524 to 776 of the family's 1533-position model. The record is from RNAcentral.
UACGGGGGGGGCAAGCGUUGUUCGGAAUUACUGGGCGUAAAGGGCUCGUAGGCGGCCAACUAAGUCAGACGUGAAAUCCCCAGGCUCAACCUGGGAACUGCGUCUGAUACUGGAUGGCUUGAAUUCGGGAGAGGGAUGCAGAAUUCCAGGUGUAGCGGUGAAAUGCGUAGAUAUCUGGAGGAAUACCGGUGGCGAAGGCGGCAUCCUGGACCGAGAUUGACACUGAGGAGCGAAAGCCAGGGGAGCAAACGGG